AAUUGAACGCUGGCGGCAUGCCUUACACAUGCAAGUCGAACGGUAACAGGUCUUCGGACGCUGACGAGUGGCGAACGGGUGAGUAAUACAUCGGAACGUGCCCAGUCGUGGGGGAUAACUACUCGAAAGAGUAGCUAAUACCGCAUACGAUCUGAGGAUGAAAGCGGGGGACCUUCGGGCCUCGCGCGAUUGGAGCGGCCGAUGGCAGAUUAGGUAGUUGGUGGGAUAAAAGCUUACCAAGCCGACGAUCUGUAGCUGGUCUGAGAGGACGACCAGCCACACUGGGACUGAGACACGGCCCAGACUCCUACGGGAGGCAGCAGUGGGGAAUUUUGGACAAUGGGCGAAAGCCUGAUCCAGCAAUGCCGCGUGCAGGAUGAAGGCCUUCGGGUUGUAAACUGCUUUUGUACGGAACGAAAAAGCUCCUUCUAAUACAGGGGGCCCAUGACGGUACCGUAAGAAUAAGCACCGGCUAACUACGUGCCAGCAGCCGCGGUAAUACGUAGGGUGCGAGCGUUAAUCGGAAUUACUGGGCGUAAAGCGUGCGCAGGCGGUUAUGUAAGACAGAUGUGAAAUCCCCGGGCUCAACCUGGGAACUGCAUUUGUGACUGCAUGGCUAGAGUACGGUAGAGGGGGAUGGAAUUCCGCGUGUAGCAGUGAAAUGCGUAGAUAUGCGGAGGAACACCGAUGGCGAAGGCAAUCCCCUGGACCUGUAGU
Molecule: ribosomal RNA, 717 nt
Filed under: Delftia tsuruhatensis
Lineage: Bacteria; Pseudomonadati; Pseudomonadota; Betaproteobacteria; Burkholderiales; Comamonadaceae
Description: bacterial SSU rRNA
Rfam family: Bacterial small subunit ribosomal RNA
Source: RNAcentral